Molecule: ribosomal RNA, 435 nt
Rfam family: Bacterial small subunit ribosomal RNA
ACGGAAGGCAGCAGUGGGGGAUAUUGCACAAUGGGCGAAAGCCUGAUGCAGCAACGCCGCGUGGGGGAAGACGGUCUUCGGAUUGUAAACCUCUGUCCUUGGUGACGAAGAAUGACGGUAGCCGAGGAGGAAGCCACGGCUAACUACGUGCCAGCAGCCGCGGUAAUACGUAGGUGGUAAGCGUUGUCCGGAUUUACUGGGUGUAAAGGGAGCGCAGGCGGGAAAGCAAGUCAGCUGUGAAAUAUAUAGGCUUAACCUGUAGACUGCAGUUGAAACUGUUUUUCUUGAGUGGAGUAGAGGUAAGCGGAAUUCCGAGUGUAGCGGUGAAAUGCGUAGAGAUUCGGAGGAACACCAGUGGCGAAGGCGGCUUACUGGGCUCUAACUGACGCUGAGGCUCGAAAGUGUGGGGAGCAAACAGGAUUAGAUACCCUGGUA